AACGAACGCUGGCGGCAUGCCUAAUACAUGCAAGUCGAACGAGAUCUUCGGAUCUAGUGGCGCACGGGUGCGUAACGCGUGGGAAUCUGCCCUUGGGUUCGGAAUAACUUCUGGAAACGGAAGCUAAUACCGGAUGAUGACGUAAGUCCAAAGAUUUAUCGCCCAAGGAUGAGCCCGCGUAGGAUUAGCUAGUUGGUGGGGUAAAGGCCCACCAAGGCGACGAUCCUUAGCUGGUCUGAGAGGAUGAUCAGCCACACUGGGACUGAGACACGGCCCAGACUCCUACGGGAGGCAGCAGUAGGGAAUAUUGGACAAUGGGGGAAACCCUGAUCCAGCAAUGCCGCGGGAGUGAUGAAGGCCUUAGGGUUGUAAAGCUCUUUUACCCGGGAUGAUAAUGACAGUACCGGGAGAAUAAGCUCCGGCUAACUCCGUG
Molecule: ribosomal RNA, 433 nt
Filed under: uncultured bacterium
Lineage: Bacteria
Description: partial 16S ribosomal RNA
Rfam family: Bacterial small subunit ribosomal RNA
Source: RNAcentral